This 140-nucleotide small RNA is filed under the name Arabidopsis thaliana (thale cress). RNAcentral's name for it is "ATSL274070". The record is from RNAcentral. Lineage: Eukaryota; Viridiplantae; Streptophyta; Magnoliopsida; Brassicales; Brassicaceae.
GGUGCUGGAGAUGCACCACGUGAUCACCGUCAGCGGAAAGGAAUUGCACCUCCUGCUAUCCAGAACAACAACUUCGAGAUUAAGAGUGGUCUCAUCUCGAUGAUUCAGGGGAACAAAUUCCAUGGUCUGCCAAUAGAGGA